RNAcentral lists this microRNA precursor (83 nucleotides) under Ovis aries (sheep). Its description in RNAcentral is "miRNA (ENSOARG00000023480.1)". The record is from RNAcentral. Lineage: Eukaryota; Metazoa; Chordata; Mammalia; Artiodactyla; Bovidae.
UAUUGGGUUGGCCAAAAGUUUCGUUUGAGUUUUUCCAUAACAUCUUAAAGAAAAACUCAAAUGAACCUUUUGGCCAACUCAAU